GCCUAUGGCUAUACCACCCUGAACGCACCCCUAUCUCCUCUGAUCUUGGACGCUAAGCAGGGUCUGGCCUGGUUAGUAUUUGGAUGCGAGGUUGAAAAGGAGACUCUAUGAAAUAUCGUCGCGCCAUCUGGU
RNAcentral lists this ribosomal RNA (132 nucleotides) under Prolemur simus (greater bamboo lemur). Lineage: Eukaryota; Metazoa; Chordata; Mammalia; Primates; Lemuridae. The record is from RNAcentral.